CUGCUAGUGUGCCGAAGAACACCUGUGUGUAAGCUAACUGUGCAGGAAGAGUAGUUCAUCAACUGGAGGCACACACAGUGUAUGGAUCUGUGCAAAUUUGCUUAAGAAGAAGAAAAUAAGGAAGAUCCAGAGCUGACUGACCCAUGUGGACUUACGGAUGAUGAACUCAAGGCCAAACUGCUCAAAUAUUUAGUCGAAGCUAGACCCAUUGUAGCCACCACCAGGUCUAUCUAUGAGAGGAAGCUAAAAGGCUACUAGAACCUACCCAGCCCAGACAGAAUGGUGGCACAGGAUAUGCAAACCAGUACUAUGACAGUGAAGAAGAGGAGGAAGAGUGGGGUUCAGAACAAGGAAGACCAGAGCAGUGGAGGAAUAUCAGCAUGCUAAUGAUCAGGUGAGUGAGUUCAUACUAGGAUCUUAUUUUGAGACUUUGACCAAUGAAUAGUGAAUUUCUUAUGCAGCUAUGUCAUUCUCCUCAAGUAAGGAAAAAUGUUGCCUGCAGUGCCACCUUGUGACAGUAGAUAGGUAUUUCUGUGCCUGAGUUCUAACUGUUGGGUCUCAAUGUCAAAAGAAGUUGUUACAUUUUAGGAUUGGUUCUCAGCUCAGUUAUUUCUUUCUUUUAGCAGAUGGUAUGGCACUCUCAGGAAUAAUAAAAACAUCAGUGUUUUAUGCCAUCGUCGAGAAUGGUAAAUCUGACAACCACCAGUACACUUACUUAUGAAUUAUUCAUAAUUUAAAAUGGGUGAUCAUUUCUGGAGUGUGAUGCUUUUGUGUAAUGGGAUAAUAAUGAUGCUACCCUGGCAGCGGGUCUGGAGAGCUCCAGGCCACUAUGAAUUAAAUCCCAAGAGGAAUGCAGGGAAUCAUGGGAAUGUGGCUGAGUCUUCCAACAGCAGAGGGGAAGUACCGGGGGCAGUUGCCCCCAUCGCCUGUUACUCCUGGGUACAGAGCUGGACUGAGCAGAACAUCCUCUCUGCUAGGACAUACCACAGGAUCAGUGGUAACCCUUCUAGAAAAACUCACUCAUUAACUCUUCAAUGGGAAUGGGAUCUCUGCUCUUCUACUUGCAUUUUUUUCAUCUCACACUCUAAAGCUGGUGCAUAUUUUGGGUUUUAAGGGACAACUUAAGGGAUCAAGGAAGCUGUUGGAGCAUAUUUUUGGAUAACCUGUUAUCGGCUGUGGCUCUGAACAACCGUCUUACUUUAAACCCAUGCAGAUGCAGCCUCUGUCUGUAUCUCUGGGAGGUGGUGGUGAGGAUUCCUCCAAUUCCCCUUCUCAGAGCUUCAGCAUUACUGAGAUGGUAGAGGAGGGAAGUUUGUUUUUAUCAGGUUUUUGUUAUCUAAUCUUGACGAUCACAUCAACAGCCUAAAUAUCUAAUCCCCACUAAAGUUUUGACUAAUGAGUGAUAUGCUGUAUUAACGUUUUCCUCUGGAACCACAGAUUGAGAGUCAAAGCCCUCUCUCCAGUAGUAGAACACAGAAGCACAAUAGGAGUAAAAUUCUGGUUUCUUGGCCAAGGCCCCACCAGGUCAGUAGUACUCACAAACACUUCAGUAAUCUUAUCAGUGACACUGUCACGCCCCGGGCUUAGUAUUCAGUCUUCUCUUUAUUAUUUUGGUUAGGCCAGGGUGUGACAUGGGUGAUUUAUGUGAUUUGUUUUGUCUAGGGGUUUUGUAGUUUAUGGGAUUGUGUUUAGUUAAGUAUUCUAGGUAAGUCUAUGGUUGCCUGGAGUGGUUCUCAAUCAGAGGCAGGUGGUUAUCGUUGUCUCUGAUUGGGAACCAUAUUUAGGCAGCCAUAUUCUUUAGGUCUCUUGUGGGUGAUUGUUCCUGUCUCUGUGUUUUGCACCAGUUAGGACUGUUUGCAGUUUUCCACGUUUUUAUAUUUUGUAUUAUACAUUGUUCAAGUUAUCAUCUUUAUUCAAGAUGUUUAUAAAUAACCACGCUGCGUUUUGGUCCGCCUCUCUUUCACCAGAAGAAAACCGUUACAGACACGCUGUUGUUGGUGGUUACAUGGUGGAUGUUGUUAGGUUCUAAAUAAACAGAGUAAAAACUCACGGACAACUAUAAAAAGCUCAAACCAAGUUUAUUCACCAAAUGGGUCAGACAGCUGAACAAACCAAGACAUAUUCACACAAGCACUGGUAUUUAAACGGUCGUCCCAUGCUGAGUCUCCUCCUUACACACCUGGACAGCCAAGCGACUUCAUGUGACCUGACCUUGGCCCAAAUUCCUCACUCCUCCCCAACUCAUGGCUGUUCUGUUCACUUGUACCACACUGUGGCCCUUCUCCUUUCCAUUUGGAUACCUGAUGUCUAACAGUAACAUGUUCUGACAAUGUAAACGUUUUGCAUUCCCCCCUCGCCCCCUCAGUAACAUUAGCAAGGAUAUUUCAAUUUUAGAAGUCAUACCCCAUCAAUGUGAUUCCUUGGGCUGUGGUUAAGUAGAGGGGAUGUGGAAUAUACACUACCGGUCAAAAGUUUUACAACACCUACUCAUUCAAGGGUUUUUCUUUAUUUUUACUAUUUUCUACAUUGUAGAAUAAUAGUGAAGACAUCAAAACUAUGAAAUAACACAUGGAAUUAGGUAGUAACCAAAAAAGUGUUAAACAAAUCAAAAUAUAUUUGAAAUUCUUAAAAUAGCCACCCUUUGACUUGAUGACAGCUUUGCACACUCUUCGCAUUCUCUCAACCAGCUUCAUGAGGUAGUCACCUGGAAUGCAUUUGAGUUAACAGGUGUGCCUUCUUAAAAGUUAACUUGUGGAAUUUCUUUCCUUAAUAUGUUUAAGCCAAUCAAUUGAGUUGUGACAAGGUAUGGGGGGUAUACAGAAGAUACCCCUAAUUGGUAAAAGACCAAGUCCAUAUUAUGGCAAGAAGAGCUCAAAUAAGCAAAGAUAAACGACUGUCCAUGAUUAUUUUAAGACAUGAAGGUCAGUCAAUCAGGAAUAUUUCAAGAACUUUGAAAGUUUCUUCAAGAGCAGUCGCAAAAACCAUCAAGUGCUAUGAUGAAACUGGCACUCAUGAGGACCGCCACAGGAUUGGAAGACCCAGAGUUCCCUCUGCUGCAGAGGAUAAGUUAAUUAGAGUUACCAGCCUCUGAAAUUGCACCCCAAAUAAAUGCUUCAUAGAGUUCAAGUAACACAAAUCUCAACAUUAACUGUUCAGAGGAGACUGUGUGAAUCAGUCCUUCAUGGUUGAAUUGCUGCAAAGAAACCACUUCUAAAGGACACCAAUAAGAAGAAGACUUGCUUGGGCCAAGAAACAUGAGCAAUGGACAUUAGACUGGUGGAAAUUUGUCCUUUUGAUCUGGAGUCCAAAUUUUAGAUUUUUAGUUCCAACUGCUGUGUCUUUGUGAGACGCGGUGUGGGUGAACUGAUGAUCUCCGCAUAUUUAUUUCCCACCGUAAAGCGUGGUGGGGCUGCUUUGCUGGUAACACUGUCUAUGAUUUAUUUAGAAUUCAAGGCACACUUAACCAGCAUGGCUACCACAGCAUUCUGCAGCGAUACGCCAUCCCAUCUGGUUUGCGCUUCGUGGGACUAUCAUUUGUUGUUGUCAACAGGACAGCCUGUUUAAGGGAUAUUUAAGGGACAUCAAAUGACUUGGCCUCCACAAUUCCCUGACCUCAAUCAAAUUGAGAUGGUUUGGGAUGAGUCGAACUACAGAGUGAAGGAAAAGCAGCCAACAAGUGCUCCGCAUAUGUGGGAACUCCUUCAAGAAUGUUGGAAAAGCUUUCCACGUGAAACUAGUUGAGCGAAUGCCAAGAGUGUGCAAAGCUAUCAUCAAGGCAAAGGGUGGCUAUUUUACAAAUCUCAAAUAUAAAAUAUAUUUAGAUUUAGAUUUGGUUACUACAUGAUUACAUGUGUUAUUUCAUAAUUUGGAUGUCUUCACUAUUAUUCUACAAUCUAGAAAAUAGUCAAAUAAAAAAAAAACUUGAAUUUGCCUGUGUUCUAAAACCUUUGGCCAGUAGUGUACAUUUAAUGAGUUGUUUCUCACUUCUUCCUUCAGGACAUGGCGAUCGUGAACUAUACCAUGACUAACUGAUCACCUUGCGUCACCCCAAAGACCUCUUUUUCAAACAGCAUAACAAUACACUUACAUUAGCUUGUUUAGUUGUCUUUCAGAUUCAUUCCUGUCUUUUCACUCUUUCAACAGUUCAUACACUAGAGCUACAGUAGCAGACUGGCGGCUCCUGGCAGAGCUACACUGUAUACUUUAUUAUCCUGUUAAUGGUUUUACCAUCACUGAGCAGGUCACAGAUGUCCUGAUGGAGAUGUUCCCAGAGACAGAACCUACACGCACUGGCAUUGCGUAAAUCCAGUUUCCCAUAAAACAACACUACACAUACAGAAGACUAACAAUUAGGGAAGAGUCACCAUUUAUAAGUGCCACCCGUUGGAGAACUAUCAAGGGUGCAGCGAGGCGACCAGUCCAGUUUAAAUUCCCAGAUCUCCCUGCCAGUCUCAUGACCCUACAGAGACAGGCAUUGGAGAGCCGCCUGGUGCCUCUGUUGGUCUAGAUCCUGGUCUUCCUCAUCUUGACUUGCCUCUUCUACCUCAUCUACGCUGCCAUGGAAUACAGCUUGGACCAACCCUCUGUGGCCUUGCUGGACAACCUCAGUAUGGGGACGGAGACUCCAGCCUGACCCCUAGGACUCAUCUGUACACCCUCUCUAGGGAGUAGUAACUCCCCUGCUCUAGCUAUGUGUCCUGAUUCUCCACCCUUCUCUUAAAGGGAGAAAUAUUUUCUUGCAUGGAUUUAAUAAUGGAUAAAACUUAAUCCGGCCAAUGCUUAUACCAAUCCUAAACUUUCAAAUCCGUGAUGAGAAGUAGUGCACCCUUCAGGAAAGAUAUGGACAUUCGGGAUACUCCACAAAUUGUUUUAGUUGUUGUGAGGCUAUUAAUUUGGUUACCGUAAUUCACCUUUACUCUCUGGAUUAAGUCACUCUUAACCAAGCAAGAUAGCCAUUAUAAUACUGUUUUUUUUGGAAAAUGUUCAGGUGAAACUACUGUUCAAAUAUAUACUGUGAUGGUGGAAGUGCAGAAAAUAAAAUGUGAUUUAGCCUAAUUUAGAGAAAUAAUAACAGUUUGAGAUUUGUGUAACUUAAUGGAAGAUGUUUCUGUAUUUAAUUACAAGUAUGUAUCAAUUAAAAAUGUAUGGAGUUACAGCUACAAUUUACACGUUGGUUCGGUUGGGGACCAGUCUGUGUUAGAGCCAGUGGCGAUGUUAGCAUGUAAAUCUUGGUAGGGCAAAGAAACUACACUACAAAACACAACACUAAACAAUCUGGGAUGCAAACUAGUCACCUUGUGGCGAAAUUUGCCGUUUUGAAUCCAAAAUAGGUGACCUACGUGAUUUGUGUACAUCCA
Long non-coding RNA from Oncorhynchus tshawytscha (Chinook salmon), 5357 nucleotides. The record is from Ensembl. Lineage: Eukaryota; Metazoa; Chordata; Actinopteri; Salmoniformes; Salmonidae.